Molecule: ribosomal RNA, 253 nt
Filed under: uncultured bacterium
Lineage: Bacteria
Description: partial 16S ribosomal RNA
Rfam family: Bacterial small subunit ribosomal RNA
Source: RNAcentral
UACGGAGGAGGCAAGCGUUAUCCGGAAUUAUUGGGCGUAAAGCGUCCGCAGGUGGCGCUUCAAGUCUGCGGUCAAAGACUGGGGCUUAACCCUGGAAAGGCCGUGGAAACUGAAUAGCUAGAGUGCAGUAGGGGUAGAGGGAAUUCCCGGUGUAGCGGUGAAAUGCGUAGAGCUCGGGAAGAACAUCGGUGGCGAAAGCGCUCUGCUGGACUGCAACUGACACUCAGGGACGAAAGCUAGGGGAGCGAAUGGG